Gasterosteus aculeatus aculeatus (three-spined stickleback) is the source of this 1457-nucleotide long non-coding RNA. The record is from Ensembl. Lineage: Eukaryota; Metazoa; Chordata; Actinopteri; Perciformes; Gasterosteidae.
CUUCUGGGUCAUCGAGUAGAACCUAAAUAAAGAAUAUGGACUUUCACUGGUUCCCUUAAACAAAACACAACGGAUGAGUCCAUAUCAAGCACAUUCUUAUUUUAUUUGUUUCAUAUUUCUCAUCAAUAAAAGCGACUUUAUUAAGGCUGACAACUCGUUCAAACCCAACAAUGUGAAUCAAACACGUUAGACAAACAGCAGACAUGUAGAAGAAGAAAAAGAGACAAAGUUUAACCUCAAAGGAGCAUAAUUCAUCAUGAGAGCACGUGGAUGACGUCACUCCACCGUGUCUUUCAUAGCAGGAAGAAGUUUGAAUGUCAGAGAAACUAUUAAUGAAAACAUGUCAAUAUAAACCCUUUAUCUUAAAAUGCCAAAUAAAACACUGGAACUGACGUCACAGGGUUGAUCUCCCGUCUCUGCGCGUGGAUCUAGAAGCUGUGGAUCAGAGUCUGACAGAAGCUGAAGGUUCUCCAACGUUUUCAUAGACCACUGCACCUUCGUCUCCAUCUUCACGCUGCACCUGUGAGCAGCAACACCUGAGACUCUGAGACAAAGGGAGCAGAUGAAGCAGCAUCAGUGCUGAAGACGAGAAGAAGAAUCCCUGUUAUGUUGGACUCACUCGGUGAUACAGGCCUCACUUUAUUCUUCUUAUAAACUAGUGAAUCAUCACAAACACAGCGUUUGGUUUCAUUUUUUAAACUCACUUCGUUGACGUCCAUCCGGGUUUCUCUCCCUGAAGGACAGAAGCAUCAGUUUCAUGUUAAGUUUCCUGUGUGUGAAUGUUCCUGAUAGAAGUGACGCCAUGUUCUCACCUUUAGAUCUCUUCCAUGUGAAGAACAACACAACAAGAACAACCACCGUCGCUGCAGCCAGAAUGAUGAACCUCCACCAGCCUGCAAGUCAGAAUCCAAACGUCACAAAGCUUCUCUGUUUAAACACUUUCUCUCAUCUCCUCCCACAGCGAGAGUCCGCCCGGCCUUCAUCCUUCAGAAGGUGGUGAAGAGGCCGAGAGGAAACAUCCUCACUCACUUUGGCUGGUUGGAGAGUCGCUCUGUGCAGGUGGUGUAAUGUUUCCCUCCCCCGAUGGGCCUCCUUUGGUUUAGUGGACUGUUUGUUCACAUGAGAACUGACUGCAGGCUUCAAACAGCAGAGUUUUUCCACUCUGAUUGUUUCUCACUUCACAUCUCAGUGACUUAUAAUACUUUGACUUCUGAUGAAGAGGAGCUUUAAACGUCACAGUAGCUUCACAAGCAGCGUGUGAUGUCGUCAUCACAUCAGUCUGUUUGCCGUCAUAAAGCCACUUUACUGUGUGUUCACACUCAGAGGAUCUCAACACAAAGCAGGACAACUCAACCGAACCCCCGUAGUCCUUUUCCUCCACUGGUGAAGAUGUUCAUAAUGUGAGAAAGACAACAAGAGUAACAUUAACUUCUUCAUAAUUUAAAUGAUAAUAAUGU